GGGUUGUGAGGUUAAGCGACUAAGCGUACACGGUGGAUGCCCUGGCAGUCAGAGGCGAUGAAGGACGUGCUAAUCUGCGAUAAGCGUCGGUAAGGUGAUAUGAACCGUUAUAACCGGCGAUUUCCGAAUGGGGAAACCCAGUGUGUUUCGACACACUAUCAUUAACUGAAUCCAUAGGUUAAUGAGGCGAACCGGGGGAACUGAAACAUCUAAGUACCCCGAGGAAAAGAAAUCAACCGAGAUUCCCCCAGUAGCGGCGAGCGAACGGGGAGCAGCCCAGAGCCUGAAUCAGUGUGUGUGUUAGUGGAAGCGUCUGGAAAGGCGCGCGAUACAGGGUGACAGCCCCGUACACAAAAAUGCACAUGCUGUGAGCUCGAUGAGUAGGGCGGGACACGUGGUAUCCUGUCUGAAUAUGGGGGGACCAUCCUCCAAGGCUAAAUACUCCUGACUGACCGAUAGUGAACCAGUACCGUGAGGGAAAGGCGAAAAGAACCCCGGCGAGGGGAGUGAAAAAGAACCUGAAACCGUGUACGUACAAGCAGUGGGAGCACGCUUAGGCGUGUGACUGCGUACCUUUUGUAUAAUGGGUCAGCGACUUAUAUUCUGUAGCAAGGUUAACCGAAUAGGGGAGCCGAAGGGAAACCGAGUCUUAACUGGGCGUUAAGUUGCAGGGUAUAGACCCGAAACCCGGUGAUCUAGCCAUGGGCAGGUUGAAGGUUGGGUAACACUAACUGGAGGACCGAACCGACUAAUGUUGAAAAAUUAGCGGAUGACUUGUGGCUGGGGGUGAAAGGCCAAUCAAACCGGGAGAUAGCUGGUUCUCCCCGAAAGCUAUUUAGGUAGCGCCUCGUGAAUUCAUCUCCGGGGGUAGAGCACUGUUUCGGCAAGGGGGUCAUCCCGACUUACCAACCCGAUGCAAACUGCGAAUACCGGAGAAUGUUAUCACGGGAGACACACGGCGGGUGCUAACGUCCGUCGUGAAGAGGGAAACAACCCAGACCGCCAGCUAAGGUCCCAAAGUCAUGGUUAAGUGGGAAACGAUGUGGGAAGGCCCAGACAGCCAGGAUGUUGGCUUAGAAGCAGCCAUCAUUUAAAGAAAGCGUAAUAGCUCACUGGUCGAGUCGGCCUGCGCGGAAGAUGUAACGGGGCUAAACCAUGCACCGAAGCUGCGGCAGCGACGCUGAUGCGUUGUUGGGUAGGGGAGCGUUCUGUAAGCCUGCGAAGGUGUGCUGUGAGGCAUGCUGGAGGUAUCAGAAGUGCGAAUGCUGACAUAAGUAACGAUAAAGCGGGUGAAAAGCCCGCUCGCCGGAAGACCAAGGGUUCCUGUCCAACGUUAAUCGGGGCAGGGUGAGUCGACCCCUAAGGCGAGGCCGAAAGGCGUAGUCGAUGGGAAACAGGUUAAUAUUCCUGUACUUGGUGUUACUGCGAAGGGGGGACGGAGAAGGCUAUGUUGGCCGGGCGACGGUUGUCCCGGUUUAAGCGUGUAGGCUGGUUUUCCAGGCAAAUCCGGAAAAUCAAGGCUGAGGCGUGAUGACGAGGCACUACGGUGCUGAAGCAACAAAUGCCCUGCUUCCAGGAAAAGCCUCUAAGCAUCAGGUAACAUCAAAUCGUACCCCAAACCGACACAGGUGGUCAGGUAGAGAAUACCAAGGCGCUUGAGAGAACUCGGGUGAAGGAACUAGGCAAAAUGGUGCCGUAACUUCGGGAGAAGGCACGCUGAUAUGUAGGUGAAGUCCCUUGCGGAUGGAGCUGAAAUCAGUCGAAGAUACCAGCUGGCUGCAACUGUUUAUUAAAAACACAGCACUGUGCAAACACGAAAGUGGACGUAUACGGUGUGACGCCUGCCCGGUGCCGGAAGGUUAAUUGAUGGGGUCAGCGCAAGCGAAGCUCUUGAUCGAAGCCCCGGUAAACGGCGGCCGUAACUAUAACGGUCCUAAGGUAGCGAAAUUCCUUGUCGGGUAAGUUCCGACCUGCACGAAUGGCGUAAUGAUGGCCAGGCUGUCUCCACCCGAGACUCAGUGAAAUUGAACUCGCUGUGAAGAUGCAGUGUACCCGCGGCAAGACGGAAAGACCCCGUGAACCUUUACUAUAGCUUGACACUGAACAUUGAGCCUUGAUGUGUAGGAUAGGUGGGAGGCUUUGAAGUGUGGACGCCAGUCUGCAUGGAGCCGACCUUGAAAUACCACCCUUUAAUGUUUGAUGUUCUAACGUGGACCCGUGAUCCGGGUUGCGGACAGUGUCUGGUGGGUAGUUUGACUGGGGCGGUCUCCUCCUAAAGAGUAACGGAGGAGCACGAAGGUUGGCUAAUCCUGGUCGGACAUCAGGAGGUUAGUGCAAUGGCAUAAGCCAGCUUGACUGCGAGCGUGACGGCGCGAGCAGGUGCGAAAGCAGGUCAUAGUGAUCCGGUGGUUCUGAAUGGAAGGGCCAUCGCUCAACGGAUAAAAGGUACUCCGGGGAUAACAGGCUGAUACCGCCCAAGAGUUCAUAUCGACGGCGGUGUUUGGCACCUCGAUGUCGGCUCAUCACAUCCUGGGGCUGAAGUAGGUCCCAAGGGUAUGGCUGUUCGCCAUUUAAAGUGGUACGCGAGCUGGGUUUAGAACGUCGUGAGACAGUUCGGUCCCUAUCUGCCGUGGGCGCUGGAGAACUGAGGGGGGCUGCUCCUAGUACGAGAGGACCGGAGUGGACGCAUCACUGGUGUUCGGGUUGUCAUGCCAAUGGCACUGCCCGGUAGCUAAAUGCGGAAGAGAUAAGUGCUGAAAGCAUCUAAGCACGAAACUUGCCCCGAGAUGAGUUCUCCCUGACCCUUUAAGGGUCCUGAAGGAACGUUGAAGACGACGACGUUGAUAGGCCGGGUGUGUAAGCGCAGCGAUGCGUUGAGCUAACCGGUACUAAUGAACCGUGAGGCUUAACCUUACAACGCCGAAGCUGUU
This 2930-nucleotide ribosomal RNA is filed under the name Escherichia coli. RNAcentral describes it as "bacterial LSU rRNA". It matches the Rfam family "Bacterial large subunit ribosomal RNA". The record is from RNAcentral. Lineage: Bacteria; Pseudomonadati; Pseudomonadota; Gammaproteobacteria; Enterobacterales; Enterobacteriaceae. RNAcentral also lists the same sequence under 1 other name.